Molecule: non-coding RNA, 108 nt
Organism: Triticum aestivum (bread wheat)
Lineage: Eukaryota; Viridiplantae; Streptophyta; Magnoliopsida; Poales; Poaceae
Source: Rfam
UGUUUGCUAUGAUGAAUCGCAAGGACGGUAUAUGAGUAAGCUGGCUCUUGCAAAAGGCCACCUUCCUUGAUUAUACACCCUAAACUGAUCUUAAUUUCUGAGCAAACA